AUUGAACGCUGGCGGCAGGCCUAACACAUGCAAGUCGAGCGAGCGGCGGACGGGUGAGUAAUGUCUGGGAAACUGCCUGCUGGAGGGGGAUACCUACUGGAAACGGUAGCUAAUCCCGCAUACCAUCAGAUGUGCCCAGAUGGGAUUAGCUCGUAGGUGGGGUAAUGGCUCACCUAGGCGACGAUCCCUAGAUGAUCUGAGAGUAUGACGAGCGACACUGAAACUGAGACACGGUCCAGACUCCUACGGGAGGCAGCAGUGGGGAAUAUUGCACAAGGGGCGCAAGCCUAAUGCAGCCAAGCCGCGUGUGUGAAAAGGGCCUUCGGGUUGUAGAGCACUUUCAGCGGGGAGGCGUUACCCGCAGAAGAAGCACCGGCUAACUCCGUGCCAGCAGCCGCGGUAAUAC
This 406-nucleotide ribosomal RNA is filed under the name uncultured bacterium. RNAcentral describes it as "partial 16S ribosomal RNA". It matches the Rfam family "Bacterial small subunit ribosomal RNA", at positions 30 to 526 of the family's 1533-position model. The record is from RNAcentral.